AUAUGGGCCCGCCCACUCUCACAGGAUGAAGAGGGAGAGAGAACUGAAGAGGCUCUGCUCAGCUGUGGGGCCACAGAAGGCAGGAUCAGUGAUGACUUGCACCAUGGCCUGGUCCCCUCUCCUUCUCACGCUCCUUGUUCACUGCACAGGGUCCUGGGCCCAGUCUGUGCUGACUCAGCCACCCUCCGUGUCUGGGACCCUGGGUGGGAGGGUCACCAUCUCCUGCACUGGAAGCAGCAACAAUAUUGGAGGUUAUGAUGUAAGCUGGCAACAACAGCUCCCAGGAACAGCCCCCAGAACCAUUAUCUAUGCUAAUACCAAUCGACCUUCAGGGGUUCCAGAUCGAUUCUCUGGCUCCAAGUCUGGCAGCACUGCUACCCUGACCAUCACUGGACUCCAGGCUGAGGACGAGGUCGAGUAUUACUGUGCAACAUGGGACAGUAGUCUCAGAGCUCCUGUGUCCCCGCAGCAGCAUGGGGAAUCAGUUCUGACUCACUCCCUCCUUCCUGCCUCACUUUCUACCCCAAGGCAUCCUUGCCCAGGCUGGUGCUCAGACUGA
This is a non-coding RNA of Lutra lutra (Eurasian river otter), 559 nucleotides long. The record is from the annotation of a RefSeq genome assembly. NCBI's taxonomy places the organism in Eukaryota, Metazoa, Chordata, Mammalia, Carnivora, Mustelidae.